GUUUCCGUAGGUGAACCUGCGGAAGGAUCAUUAUUGAAGGACAAUGGGUGGCAAAGGCUGUCGCUGGCUUGAAUGAGCAUGUGCACGUCUUUUGCUGCUUAUUUCAUUCAUUUUUCCUCCUGUGCACAUUUUGUAGACACUUGGGAAUGAGAGGUUGGUUGUAAUGUAAUGAUAUAUAUUGACCUCUUGAGAUCAGUCUGGGUGUCUAUGUCAUUUUUAUAAACACGGCUGCAUGUCUAUAGAAUGAGAUUGUAGGUUUUUAAUAAAAAGCCUUUAAAUGAUAAAGUACAACUUUCAACAACGGAUCUCUUGGCUCUCGCAUCGAUGAAGAACGCAGCGAAAUGCGAUAAAGUAAUGUGAAUUGCAGAAUUCAGUGAAUCAUCGAAUCUUUGAACGCAUCUUGCGCUCCUUGGUAUUCCGAGGAGCAUGCCUGUUUGAGUGUCAUUCAAGUAUCUCAAAAGUUCUUAUGCACUAUGCAAGGAACUUUUGGAUAUUGGGAGUUGCUGGUCACUGAUAAAGUGGUUGGCUCUUCUGAAAAGCAUUAGUUGAGGAGCUCCUUGCACUCUAUUGGUGUGAUAGACUAUCUAUGCCAGGAGAAGCAUUAUGAAGCCUCUGCUGUCUAACAGUCCUAAUUGGACAAUAUGAUAAAAUUGACCUCAAAUCAGGUAGGACUACCCGCUGAACUUAAGCAUAUCAAUAAGCGGAGGAAAAGAAACUAACAAGGAUUCCCUUAGUAACUGCGAGUGAAGAGGGAAAAGCUCAAAUUUAAAAUCUGGCAGUGUUUUGCUGUCCGAGUUGUAACCUAGAGAAGUGUAACCUGUGCUGGACCAUGUAUAAAUCUCCUGGAAUGGAGCAUCGCAGAGGGUGAGAAUCCCGUCUUUGACAUGGACUACCAGUGCAUUGUGGUUGUGCUCUCAACGAGUCGAGUUGUUUGGGAAUGCAGCUCUAAAUGGGUGGUAAAUUCCAUCUAAAGCUAAAUAUUGGCGAGAGACCGAUAGCGAACAAGUACCGUGAGGGAAAGAUGAAAAGAACUUUGGAAAGAGAGUUA
This 1048-nucleotide ribosomal RNA is filed under the name Amanita porphyria. Its description in RNAcentral is "eukaryotic LSU rRNA". The stretch from base 652 to 1048 matches the Rfam family "Eukaryotic large subunit ribosomal RNA", at positions 1 to 390 of the family's 3401-position model. Lineage: Eukaryota; Fungi; Basidiomycota; Agaricomycetes; Agaricales; Amanitaceae. The record is from RNAcentral.